GCAGUGGUGGCUCAGUGGUAGAAUGCUCGCCUUCCAUUGCGGAGACCUGGGUUUGAUUCCCAGCUGGUGCA
Molecule: transfer RNA, 71 nt
Filed under: Loxodonta africana (African savanna elephant)
Lineage: Eukaryota; Metazoa; Chordata; Mammalia; Proboscidea; Elephantidae
Rfam family: tRNA
About the family: Transfer RNA (tRNA) molecules are approximately 80 nucleotides in length. Their secondary structure includes four short double-helical elements and three loops (D, anti-codon, and T loops).
Source: Rfam by way of RNAcentral